UAGAUACAUAAACUGAUUACUGAAGACUAAAAAUGACUUCCAACAAACCGGAAGUGACCAAUUAUCUCCCAUUCUAAAUACAAAAGUAUAUAGAAACUAUAUAUUUUUGGAAUCAGUGUGAAAGAAGCUAUCAUAUUAGACCGGAAGUGACAUUCAUUUCACCGGAAGUAGCAUAUUAUCUCCUUUAUAUCACUUAAAAAUAUGAUUAAACCAUUAUUUAUCGUAUCAGUAUGAACAACUAUCUUCUUAUCAAAAUUUCUUUGAUGUGGAAAGACCUUCAAUUGUUCUCUGAACAAUUGGUUUUUAAUUAUUUUUUUUUUUUUUCUUCCGCCAAAUUUUGUUCUUGCGAUAAAUGUUUGUUUCGCAAUAUGUCGCUUAGAUUUUUUUCAUAUUGUAUCGUAUAGUUUAUGCGCUUUUAAAUUUCACCCUGCUAAGCCGAACCAUUUUCUUUGUAAGAGUUAUCUCCCUAUUCACUGUUUGUCAUGUGUGUGCAUCUCCUUCGUAACAAAAUAAGAAAGCGACACAAUUCUUUUUACAAAUUGUUCGUUACAUCCUCAGGAAAUUUUGGCUUAUUUGGAUCGAAGCGAUUCGAUGAAAUUUUAUAGGAGUUAUCUAUCUUUACGGAAUAAAUUUGUCGGUAUGUUUUUUUAACUCAUAAACCAUUAACCGUAUAACCCUGGAAUGUUUUUAUUUGAGUCCCCUGAUUCCUAACUUAGAAAAUUAGGUCAAGGUCAAAGGUCAAGGUCAUAUUUUAGAUUUUCAUAUGUCUUUGAUUUCCCUAUAAUUCUUGAAUGGUUAUAGAUACAGAAAAUUUAAGCAGUGAAAAAUGUUUAGUACUUCAAGGGGCAACUUUGUUACAUUAUGACUAUAUUGGUUUUACCAUUGUGUAAGGGACAUAAUCCCCAUUGAUGGUUUAUAUAAAGCCAUUAUUUAGGCAAAACUCUUAAACAAAAGACCUUGACCCAUAGGGUCUUUUGCAAUGACAUUGUGAAGCAAUGACCUUGACAAAGGUCACAAGGUCAAAGGUCAAGGUCAUGUACAUAUGUGAUUUGGGGCACUACUUGAAGAGUUUUAUGUGUGUUUGCCUGCCAACCAACCAAUCAAUCAAUCAAUCAAUCAUGAUCAUGAUCAAUCAACCAAUAAUGAUCAUGAUCAAUCAAUCAAUCAAUCAUGUUUCCGUCUCAUGUGUUUAUCAUAGGGUUCAAGAUCUUCUUUGUUUCUUUUUCGCUGUUUCAACUGACCCUAUCCAACGUGUUUAACCAACCAACCAACUAAUCAAUCAAUCAAUCAAUCAAUCAAUCAACCAAUCAAUCAAUCGAUCAUGAUCAUGAUCAUGAUCAAUCAAUCAUGUUUCCGUCUCAUGUGUUUAAUAUAGGGUCCAAGAUGUUUGUUUCUUUUUCGCUGUUUCAAUUGACCCUAUCCAACGUGUUUAACCAAUCAACCAACCAACCAACCAACUAAUCAAUCAUUCAAUCAAUCAAUCAAUCGAUCAUGAUCAUGAUCAUGAUCAAUCAAUCAUGUUUCCGGCUCAUGUGUUUAAUAUAGGGUCCAAGAUCUUUGUUUCUUUUUCGCUGUUUCAAUUGACCCUAUCCAACGUGUUUAACCAACCAACCAACUAACCAACCAACCAACUAAUCAAUCAAUCAAUCAAUCAAUCAAUCAAUCAAUCAAUUAAUCAAUCAAUCAAUCAUGAUCA
RNAcentral lists this long non-coding RNA (1696 nucleotides) under Mytilus galloprovincialis (Mediterranean mussel). The record is from RNAcentral. Lineage: Eukaryota; Metazoa; Mollusca; Bivalvia; Mytilida; Mytilidae.